AUUGAACGCUGGCGGCAUGCCUUACACAUGCAAGUCGAACGGCAGCACGGGAGCAAUCCUGGUGGCGAGUGGCGAACGGGUGAGUAAAGUAUCGGAACGUGCCCAGUCGUGGGGGAUAACGUAGCGAAAGUUACGCUAAUACCGCAUACGAUCUAUGGAUGAAAGCGGGGGAUCGCAAGACCUCGCGCGAUUGGAGCGGCCGUUAUCAGAUUAGAUAGUUGGUGGGGUAAAGGCACACCAAGCCGACGAUCUGUGGCGGGUCUGAGAGGACGACCAGCCACACUGGGACUGAAACACGGCCCAGACUCCUACGGGAGGCAGCAGUGGGAAUUUUGGACAAUGGGCGAAAGCCUGAUCCAGCCAUGCCGCAUGCAGGAUGAAGGCCUUCGGGUUGUAAACUGCUUUUGUACGGAACGAAAAGGUUUGGCCUAAUAAGCUGAGCUCAUGACGGUACCGUAAGAAUAAGCACCGGCUAACUACGUGCCAGCAGCCGCCGUAA
RNAcentral lists this ribosomal RNA (499 nucleotides) under uncultured bacterium. Its description in RNAcentral is "partial 16S ribosomal RNA". It matches the Rfam family "Bacterial small subunit ribosomal RNA", at positions 30 to 523 of the family's 1533-position model. The record is from RNAcentral.